RNAcentral lists this ribosomal RNA (628 nucleotides) under uncultured marine bacterium. RNAcentral describes it as "bacterial SSU rRNA". It matches the Rfam family "Bacterial small subunit ribosomal RNA", at positions 21 to 643 of the family's 1533-position model. The record is from RNAcentral.
GGCUCAGAUUGAACGCUGGCGGCAGGCCUAACACAUGCAAGUCGAACGGUAACAUUUCUAGCUUGCUAGAAGAUGACGAGUGGCGGACGGGUGAGUAAUGCUUGGGAACUUGCCUUUGCGAGGGGGAUAACAGUUGGAAACGACUGCUAAUACCGCAUAAUGUCUUCGGACCAAACGGGGCUUUUAGCUCCGGCGCAAAGAGAGGCCCAAGUGAGAUUAGCUAGUUGGUAAGGUAACGGCUUACCAAGGCGACGAUCUCUAGCUGUUCUGAGAGGAAGAUCAGCCACACUGGGACUGAGACACGGCCCAGACUCCUACGGGAGGCAGCAGUGGGGAAUAUUGCACAAUGGGGGAAACCCUGAUGCAGCCAUGCCGCGUGUGUGAAGAAGGCCUUCGGGUUGUAAAGCACUUUCAGUUGUGAGGAAAAGUUAGUAGUUAAUACCUGCUAGCCGUGACGUUAACAACAGAAGAAGCACCGGCUAACUCCGUGCCAGCAGCCGCGGUAAUACGGAGGGUGCGAGCGUUAAUCGGAAUUACUGGGCGUAAAGCGCACGCAGGCGGGUUUGUUAAGCUAGAUGUGAAAACCCCNGGGCUCAACCUGGGAUGGUCAUUUAGAACUGGCAGACUA